GAUGAACGCUGGCGGUAUGCUUAACACAUGCAAGUCGAACGGUACCUUCGGGUAUAGUGGCGGACGGGUGAGUAACGCGUGAGAAUCUAUCUUCAGGUCGGGGACAACAGUUAGAAAUGACUGCUAAUACCGGAUGUGCCGAAAGGUAAAAGAUUUAUUGCCUGAAAAAGAGCUCGCGUCAGAUUAGCUAGUAGGUGGUGUAAGAGACUACCUAGGCUUCGAUCUGUAGCUGGUCUGAGAGGACGAUCAGCCACACUGGAACUGAGACACGGUCCAGACUCCUACGGGAGGGAGAAGUGGGGAAUUUUCCGCAAUGGGCGAAAGCCUGACGGAGCAAUACCGCGUGAGGGACGAAGGCUCUUGGGUCGUAAACCUCUUUUCUCAAGGAAGAUUCAGACGGUACUUGAGGAAUAAGCAUCGGCUAACUCUGUG
This 432-nucleotide ribosomal RNA is filed under the name uncultured bacterium. RNAcentral's name for it is "partial 16S ribosomal RNA". It matches the Rfam family "Bacterial small subunit ribosomal RNA", at positions 28 to 507 of the family's 1533-position model. The record is from RNAcentral.